RNAcentral lists this ribosomal RNA (497 nucleotides) under uncultured bacterium. RNAcentral's name for it is "partial 16S ribosomal RNA". It matches the Rfam family "Bacterial small subunit ribosomal RNA", at positions 28 to 507 of the family's 1533-position model. The record is from RNAcentral.
GAUGAACGCUGGCGGCGUGCCUAAUACAUGCAAGUCGAGCGAACGGACGAGAAGCUUGCUUCUCUGAUGUUAGCGGCGGACGGGUGAGUAACACGUGGAUAACCUACCUAUAAGACUGGGAUAACUUCGGGAAACCGUAGCUAAUACCGGAUAAUAUUUUGAACCGCAUGGUUCAAAAGUGAAAGACGGUCUUGCUGUCACUUAUAGAUGGAUCCGCGCUGCAUUAGCUAGUUGGUAAGGUAACGGCUUACCAAGGCAACGAUGCAUAGCCGACCUGAGAGGGUGAUCGGCCACACUGGAACUGAGACACGGUCCAGACUCCUACGGGAGGCAGCAGUAGGGAAUCUUCCGCAAUGGGCGAAAGCCGGACGGAGCAACGCCGCGUGAGUGAUGAAGGUCUUCGGAUCGUAAAACUCUGUUAUUAGGGAAGAACAUAUGUGUAAGUAACUGUGCACAUCUUGACGGUACCUAAUCAGAAAGCCACGGCUAACUACGUG